RNAcentral lists this ribosomal RNA (444 nucleotides) under uncultured bacterium. Its description in RNAcentral is "partial 16S ribosomal RNA". It matches the Rfam family "Bacterial small subunit ribosomal RNA", at positions 339 to 795 of the family's 1533-position model. The record is from RNAcentral.
CUACGGGCCGCAGCAGCGGGGAAUAUUGCACAAUGGGCGCAAGCCUGAUGCAGCAACGCCGCGUGAGGGAUGAAGGCCUUCGGGUUGUAAACCUCUUUUAGCAGGGAAGAAGCGAAAGUGACGGUACCUGCAGAAAAAGCACCGGCUAACUACGUGCCAGCAGCCGCGGUAAUACGUAGGGUGCAAGCGUUGUCCGGAAUUAUUGGGCGUAAAGAGCUCGUAGGCGGUUUGUCACGUCUGCUAUGAAAAUCCAAGGCUCAACCUUGGACUUGCAGUGGGUACGGGCAGGCUAGAGUGCGGUAGGGGAGAGGGGAAUUCCUGGUGUAGCGGUGGAAUGCGCAGAUAUCAGGAGGAACACCAAUGGCGAAGGCACAUCUCUGGGCCGUAACUGACGCUGAGGAGCGAAAGCGUGGGGAGCGAACAGGAUUAGAUACCCUUGUAGUC